CCAACAUUAGUGUGCGAUGGAAGGACGCUUAGGGCUAAGGGGGCUAGCGGAUGGAAGUGCUAGUCUAAGGUCGUAGGAGGUUAUACAGGCAAAUCCGUAUAACAAUACUCCGAGAACUGAAAGGCUUUUUGAAGUCUUCGGAUGGAUAGAAGAACCCCUGAUGCCGUCGAGCCAAGAAAAGUUUCUAAGUUUAGCUAAUGUUGCCCGUACCGUAAACCGACACAGGUGGGUGGGAUGAGUAUUCUAAGGCGCGUGGAAGAACUCUCUUUAAGGAACUCUGCAAAAUAGCACCGUAUCUUCGGUAUAAGGUGUGGUUAGCUUUGUAUUAGGAUUUACUCCGAAAGCAAGGAAACUUACAACAAAGAGUCCCUCCCGACUGUUUACCAAAAACACAGCACUCUGCUAACUCGUAAGAGGAUGUAUAGGGUGUGACGCCUGCCCGGUGCUCGAAGGUUAAUUGAUGGGGUUAGCAUUAGCGAAGCUCUUGAUCGAAGCCCGAGUAAACGGCGGCCGUAACUAUAACGGUCCUAAGGUAGCGAAAUUCCUUGUCGGUUAAAUACCGACCUGCAUGAAUGGCGUAACGAGAUGGGAGCUGUCUCAAAGAGGGAUCCAGUGAAAUUGUAGUGGAGGUGAAAAUUCCUCCUACCCGCGGCAAGACGGAAAGACCCCGUGGACCUUUACUACAGCUUGACACUGCUACUUGGAUAAGAAUGUGCAGGAUAGGUGGGAGGCUUUGAGUAUAUGACGCCAGUUGUAUAUGAGCCAUUGUUGAGAUACCACUCUUUCUUAUUUGGGUAGCUAACCAGCUUGAGUUAUCCUCAAGUGGGACAAUGUCUGGUGGGUAGUUUGACUGGGGCGGUCGCCUCCCAAAUAAUAACGGAGGCUUACAAAGGUUGGCUCAGAACGGUUGGAAAUCGUUCGUAGAGUAUAAAGGUAUAAGCCAGCUUAACUGCAAGACAUACAAGUCAAGCAGAGACGAAAGUCGGUCUUAGUGAUCCGGUGGUUCUGUGUGGAAGGGCCAUCGCUCAAAGGAUAAAAGGUACCCCGGGGAUAACAGGCUGAUCUCCCCCAAGAGCUCACAUCGACGGGGAGGUUUGGCACCUCGAUGUCGGCUCAUCGCAUCCUGGGGCUGGAGCAGGUCCCAAGGGUAUGGCUGUUCGCCAUUUAAAGCGGUACGCGAGCUGGGUUCAGAACGUCGUGAGACAGUUCGGUCCCUAUCUGCCGUGGGCGUAAGAAGAUUGAAGAGAUUUGACCCUAGUACGAGAGGACCGGGUUGAACAAACCACUGGUGUAGCUGUUGUUCUGCCAAGAGCAUCGCAGCGUAGCUAAGUUUGGAAAGGAUAAACGCUGAAAGCAUCUAAGCGUGAAGCCAACUCUAAGAUGAAUCUUCUCUAAGCUCUCUAGAAGACUACUAGUUUGAUAGGCUGGGUGUGUAAUGGAUGAAAGUCCUUUAGCUGACCAGUACUAAUAGAGCGUUUGGCUUAUCUUUAAUAAAGCAU
RNAcentral lists this ribosomal RNA (1499 nucleotides) under Campylobacter jejuni. RNAcentral describes it as "partial 23S ribosomal RNA". It matches the Rfam family "Bacterial large subunit ribosomal RNA", at positions 1443 to 2925 of the family's 2925-position model. The record is from RNAcentral. Lineage: Bacteria; Pseudomonadati; Campylobacterota; Epsilonproteobacteria; Campylobacterales; Campylobacteraceae.